RNAcentral lists this ribosomal RNA (454 nucleotides) under uncultured bacterium. RNAcentral describes it as "partial 16S ribosomal RNA". It matches the Rfam family "Bacterial small subunit ribosomal RNA", at positions 28 to 507 of the family's 1533-position model. The record is from RNAcentral.
GAUGAACGCUGACAGAAUGCUUAACACAUGCAAGUCAACUUGAACUUCGGUUUGGGUGGCGGACGGGUGAGUAACGCGUAAAGAACUUGCCUCACAGCUAGGGACAACAUUUGGAAACGAAUGCUAAUACCUGAUAUUAUGAUUUUAGGGCAUCCUAGAAUUAUGAAAGCUAUAUGCGCCGUGAGAGAGCUUUGCGUCCCAUUAGCUAGUUGGAGAGGUAACGGCUCACCAAGGCGAUGAUGGGUAGCCGGCCUGAGAGGGUGAACGGCCACAAGGGGACUGAGACACGGCCCUUACUCCUACGGGAGGCAGCAGUGGGGAAUAUUGGACAAUGGACCAAGAGUCUGAUCCAGCAAUUCUGUGUGCACGAUGAAGUUUUUCGGAAUGUAAAGUGCUUUCAGUUGGGAAGAAAAAAAUGACGGUACCAACAGAAGAAGUGACGGCUAAAUACGUG